UACGGGGGGGGCAAGCGUUGUUCGGAAUUACUGGGCGUAAAGGGCUUGUAGGUGGCCAACUAAGUCAGACGUGAAAUCCCUCGGCUUAACCGGGGAACUGCGUCUGAUACUGGAUGGCUCGAGUUUGGGAGAGGGAUGCGGAAUUCCAGGUGUAGCGGUGAAAUGCGUAGAUAUCGGGAGGAAUACCUAUGGCGAAAGCAGGCUACUGGACCGUCACUGACUCUGAUCUGCGAAAGCUAGGGGAGCAAACAGG
Molecule: ribosomal RNA, 253 nt
Filed under: uncultured bacterium
Lineage: Bacteria
Description: partial 16S ribosomal RNA
Rfam family: Bacterial small subunit ribosomal RNA
Source: RNAcentral